UACGGGGGGGGCAAGCGUUGUUCGGAAUUACUGGGCGUAAAGGGCUCGUAGGUGGCCAACUAAGUCAGACGUGAAAUCCCUCAGCUUAACUGGGGAACUGCGUCUGAUACUGGAUGGCUUGAGAUUGGGAGAGGGAUGCGGAAUUCCAGGUGUAGCGGUGAAAUGCGUAGAUAUCUGGAGGAACACCGGUGGCGAAGGCGGCAUCCUGGACCAACACUGACACUGAGGAACGAAAGCCAGGGGAGCAAACGGG
This 253-nucleotide ribosomal RNA is filed under the name uncultured bacterium. RNAcentral describes it as "partial 16S ribosomal RNA". It matches the Rfam family "Bacterial small subunit ribosomal RNA", at positions 524 to 776 of the family's 1533-position model. The record is from RNAcentral.